CACGUAGGAGGCAAACGUUAUCCGGAUUUACUGGGCGUAAAGCGCGUGUAGGUGGUUCUGUAAGUAGGGCGUGAAAGCUCCUGGCUCAACUGGGAGAGGCCGUUCUAAACUGCAGAGCUAGAGGAUGGUAGAGGGAGGUGGAAUUCCGGGUGUAGCGGUGGAAUGCGCAGAUAUCCGGAGGAACACCAGUGGCGAAAGCGGCCUCCUGGACCAUUCCUGACACUCAGACGCGAAAGCUAGGGUAGCAAACGGGAUUAGAGACCCCGGUAGUCCUAGCCCUAAACGAUGUAGACUUGGCGUCGGUGGCUUAAUCGUCAUCGGUGUCGUAGCUAACGCGAUAAGUCUACCGCCUGGGGACUACGGCCGCAAGGUUA
RNAcentral lists this ribosomal RNA (374 nucleotides) under uncultured bacterium. RNAcentral's name for it is "bacterial SSU rRNA". It matches the Rfam family "Bacterial small subunit ribosomal RNA", at positions 524 to 896 of the family's 1533-position model. The record is from RNAcentral.